RNAcentral lists this small nuclear RNA (107 nucleotides) under Jaculus jaculus (lesser Egyptian jerboa). The record is from RNAcentral. Lineage: Eukaryota; Metazoa; Chordata; Mammalia; Rodentia; Dipodidae.
GUGCUUGCUUUGGCAGCACAGAUACUAAAAUUGGAACGAUACAGAGAAGAUUAGUAUGGUCCCUGCGCAAGGAUGACAUGCAAAUUCGUGAAGCGUUCCAUCUUUUU